CCUACGGGGCGCAGCAGUCGAGAAUCAUUCACAAUGGGGGAAACCCUGAUGGUGCGACGCCGCGUGGGGGAAUGAAGGUCUUCGGAUUGUAAACCCCUGUCAUGUGGGAGCAAAUUAAAAAGAUCGUACCCCAAGAGGAAGAGACGGCUAACUCUGUGCCAGCAGCCGCGGUAAUACAGAGGUCUCAAGCGUUGUUCGGAAUCACUGGGCGUAAAGCGUGCGUAGGCUGUUUCGUAAGUCGUGUGUGAAAGGCGCGGGCUCAACCCGCGGACGGCACAUGAUACUGCGAGACUAGAGUAAUGGAGGGGGAACCGGAAUUCUCGGUGUAGCAGUGAAAUGCGUAGAUAUCGAGAGGAACACUCGUGGCGAAGGCGGGUUCCUGGACAGUAACUGACGCUGAGGCACGAAGGCCAGGGGAGCGAAAGGGAUUAGAUACCCGAGUAGUC
Molecule: ribosomal RNA, 446 nt
Filed under: uncultured bacterium
Lineage: Bacteria
Description: partial 16S ribosomal RNA
Rfam family: Bacterial small subunit ribosomal RNA
Source: RNAcentral